UAACUUGUUUUAUUUUUGUUAUUUGUCUUAUUUAAUGUUUAUUUUACAUGUAAAUUUUUGUGAGAAUUUUAAUUUAUCUAAAAGAUUUUUUAUUUUUUAAUCAUUCGCAGUAAUUAAUAUUAUAAAUAAAAGAAAUUUUGAUUUAGUAAUAUUUUUUAGUAUUGGUAAAUUUUGUGCCAGCAACCGCGGUUAUACAAAUAAUGCAAAUAAGACUUAUUAGUAAUAGUUAAUUUGUUUAAAAAUAAAAUUAAUUUAAAUUUUUUAAGUGAAAUUUUAAAUUUAAUUAAUUUUAUAAGGUAUUUUAAUGAAGCUAGGAAAUUUUAAUAAUAAACUAGGAUUAGAUACCCUAUUAUUUAAAAAGUAAAUUUUUAUACUUGAGUAGUAAUAGAUAUGAUCUUCAAACUUAAAGAAUUUGGCGGUGUUUUAGUCUAUUUAGAGGAACCUGUCCUGUAAUCGAUAAUCCACGUUGGACCUUACUAAAGUUUGUUUUCAAUUUGUAUAUCGCCGUUAUCAGAAUAUCUUAAAAGAGGAAUAAUUUUCUUAAUUUAUUAUUAUAAUUGAUGUCAGGUCAAGGUGCAGUUUAUAUUUUAGUAGAGAUGGGUUACAAUAAAUUUAUUUAUACGUUAAAUUGUUUGAAAUAAUGAUUUUAAGGUGGAUUUAAAAGUAAAAUAAUGAAUAUAACUUAUUUGAUUAUAGCUCUAAAACAUGCACACAUCGCCCGUCGCUCUCAUUAUUAAAAUGAGAUAAGUCGUAACAUAGUAGAAGUAUCGGAAGAUGCUUCUAGAAUGA
RNAcentral lists this non-coding RNA (789 nucleotides) under Simulium jisigouense. The record is from RNAcentral. Lineage: Eukaryota; Metazoa; Arthropoda; Insecta; Diptera; Simuliidae.